This 274-nucleotide ribosomal RNA is filed under the name uncultured bacterium. Its description in RNAcentral is "partial 16S ribosomal RNA". It matches the Rfam family "Bacterial small subunit ribosomal RNA", at positions 523 to 796 of the family's 1533-position model. The record is from RNAcentral.
AGACGAAGGUGGCAACCGUUGUUCGGAAUCACUGGGCAUAAAGCGCACGUAGGCGGGAUCGCAAGUCGGGUGUGAAAUCCCUCGGCCCAACCGAGGAACUGCGCCCGAAACUAUGGUUCUCGAGGGCAGCAGGGGAGCGUGGAAUUCCUGGUGGAGCGGUGAAAUGCGUUGAUAUCAGGAGGAACACCAGCGGCGAAGGCGACGCUCUGGGCUGCAACUGACGCUGAGGUGCGAAAGCCAGGGGAGCAAACGGGAUUAGAUACCCCAGUAGUCC